Molecule: ribosomal RNA, 1484 nt
Filed under: Burkholderia contaminans
Lineage: Bacteria; Pseudomonadati; Pseudomonadota; Betaproteobacteria; Burkholderiales; Burkholderiaceae
Description: partial 23S ribosomal RNA
Rfam family: Bacterial large subunit ribosomal RNA
Source: RNAcentral
GUUAUAGGGUCAAGCGAACAAGUGCAUGUGGUGGAUGCCUUGGCGAUCACAGGCGAUGAAGGACGCGGUAGCCUGCGAAAAGCUACGGGGAGCUGGCAAACAAGCUUUGAUCCGUAGAUGUCCGAAUGGGGAAACCCACUCCUUUUGGAGUAUCCAUGGCUGAAUACAUAGGCCAUGCGAAGCGAACGCGGUGAACUGAAACAUCUAAGUAACCGCAGGAAAAGAAAUCAACCGAGAUUCCCAAAGUAGUGGCGAGCGAAAUGGGAUGAGCCUUGCACUCUUUAUUUGUAUUGUUAGCCGAACGCUCUGGAAAGUGCGGCCAUAGCAGGUGAUAGCCCUGUAGGCGAAAACAGUAUGAAAGAACUAGGUGUGCGACAAGUAGGGCGGGACACGUGAAAUCCUGUCUGAAGAUGGGGGGACCAUCCUCCAAGGCUAAAUACUCGUGAUCGACCGAUAGUGAACCAGUACCGUGAGGGAAAGGCGAAAAGAACCCCGGGAGGGGAGUGAAAUAGAUCCUGAAACCGCAUGCAUACAAACAGUCGGAGCCUCGUAAGGGGUGACGGCGUACCUUUUGUAUAAUGGGUCAGCGACUUACGUUCAGUAGCAAGCUUAACCGUAUAGGGCAGGCGUAGCGAAAGCGAGUCCGAAUAGGGCGUUCAGUUGCUGGGCGUAGACCCGAAACCAGGUGAUCUAUCCAUGGCCAGGAUGAAGGUGCGGUAACACGUACUGGAGGUCCGAACCCACUAACGUUGAAAAGUUAGGGGAUGAGCUGUGGAUAGGGGUGAAAGGCUAAACAAACCUGGAAAUAGCUGGUUCUCUCCGAAAACUAUUUAGGUAGUGCCUCGUGUCUCACCUUCGGGGGUAGAGCACUGUCAUGGUUGGGGGGUCUAUUGCAGAUUACCCCGCCAUAGCAAACUCCGAAUACCGAAGAGUGCAAUCACGGGAGACAGACAUCGGGUGCUAACGUCCGGUGUCAAGAGGGAAACAACCCAGACCGCCAGCUAAGGUCCCCAAAUAUAGCUAAGUGGGAAACGAAGUGGGAAGGCUAAAACAGUCAGGAGGUUGGCUUAGAAGCAGCCACCCUUUAAAGAAAGCGUAAUAGCUCACUGAUCGAGUCGUCCUGCGCGGAAGAUGUAACGGGGCUAAGCUAUAUACCGAAGCUGCGGAUGCGUGCUUAGCACGCAUGGUAGGAGAGCGUUCCGUAAGCCUGCGAAGGUGCCUUGUAAAGGGUGCUGGAGGUAUCGGAAGUGCGAAUGCUGACAUGAGUAGCGAUAAAGGGGGUGAAAGGCCCCCUCGCCGUAAGCCCAAGGUUUCCUACGCAACGUUCAUCGGCGUAGGGUGAGUCGGCCCCUAAGGCGAGGCAGAAAUGCGUAGCUGAUGGGAAGCAGGUCAAUAUUCCUGCACCAUUGUUAGAUGCGAUGGGGGGACGGAUCGCGGAAGGUUGUCCGGGUGUUGGAAGUCCCGGUCGCUGCAUUGGAGAAGGC